GUAUGCUGAAAUUAAAUCAAAAAGCCAGAAAAACGUCGUCGCCAUCUUCCAGAUCAUCUCUUCGGGAAACAUCUGAGUAACAAUUCUCCUUCUCUCCCAUGGCUGGAAUGAAAGCUCAACAACAUGGCAUCAAGAUCAACAACAAAUAAUCAAGGAGGAUAAUGAAUCAAACACCAAAGAAAAACAGCAAUGAAUCAUCUGCUGACUAUUAUAUUUGAUAUUAUAAAGGAAGAAACUAACUACGAUUUUUGUACUCUUCCGCAGAUGAACAUGGUGGCAAAUGAAACCAAGAGACACACAUUUACGAAACAUGAAUAUCAGCAUCCACAUAUGCGGAAGGUAAACAAGAAGAUCUAGGAGAGAAGGAAGGUAAAGAGAGAUCAGAGAAGGGACCAAGAAAGCUAAUUAUUUUGUAAACAAAAAAAAUUCAGUUUUAACAAUUUUCCUCAUUAAACGUUAAUCUUAUUCAACAAUCUAUUUUCCCAUAA
This is a long non-coding RNA of Camelina sativa (false flax), 488 nucleotides long. RefSeq lists it as uncharacterized. NCBI's taxonomy places the organism in Eukaryota, Viridiplantae, Streptophyta, Magnoliopsida, Brassicales, Brassicaceae. The record is from RefSeq and is a predicted model, not a curated record.